UAAGACGUAGGAUGCAAGCGUUGUCCGGAUUUAUUGGGCGUAAAGAGUUCGUAGGUGGUUUGUUAAGUCUGAUGUUAAAGACUGGGGCUCAACCUCGGAAAUGCAUUGGAUACUGGCAGACUUGAGUGUGGUAGAGGCAAGCGGAAUUCCAGGUGUAGCGGUGAAAUGCGUAGAUAUCUGGAAGAACACCGGUGGCGCAAGCGGCUUGCUGGGCCAUAACUGACACUGAGGAACGAAAGCUAGGGGAGCGAAUGGGAUUAGAUACCCCAGUAGUCCUAGCCGUAAACGAUGAAUACUAGGCGUAUCGGGUAUCGACCCCUGAUGUGCCGUAGCUAACGCGAUAAGUAUUCCGCCUGAGUAGUACGGCCGCAAGGUUG
Molecule: ribosomal RNA, 377 nt
Filed under: uncultured bacterium
Lineage: Bacteria
Description: bacterial SSU rRNA
Rfam family: Bacterial small subunit ribosomal RNA
Source: RNAcentral